RNAcentral lists this ribosomal RNA (492 nucleotides) under uncultured bacterium. RNAcentral describes it as "partial 16S ribosomal RNA". It matches the Rfam family "Bacterial small subunit ribosomal RNA", at positions 29 to 507 of the family's 1533-position model. The record is from RNAcentral.
AGUGAACGCUGGCGGUAGGCCUAACACAUGCAAGUCGAACGGCAGCACAGUAAGCGCUUGCUCUUACGGGUGGCGAGUGGCGGACGGGUGAGGAAUACAUCGGAACCUACUUUUUCGUGGGGGAUAACGUAGGGAAACUUACGCUAAUACCGCAUACGACCUACGGGUGAAAGCAGGGGAUCUUCGGACCUUGCGCGAUUGAAUGAGCCGAUGUCGCAUUAGCUAGUUGGCGGGGUAAAGGCCCACCAAGGCGACGAUCCGUAGCUGAUCUGAGAGGAUGAUCAGCCACACUGGAACUGAGACACGGUCCAGACUCCUACGGGAGGCAGCAGUGGGGAAUAUUGGACAAUGGGCGCAAGCCUGAUCCAGCCAUACCGCGUGAGUGAAGAAGGCCUUCGGGUUGUAAAGCCCUGUUGUUGGGAAAGAAAAGCAGCAUGUUAAUACCCCGCUGUUCUGACGGUACCCAAAGAAUAAGCACCGGCUAACUUCGUG